Molecule: long non-coding RNA, 966 nt
Organism: Nematostella vectensis (starlet sea anemone)
Lineage: Eukaryota; Metazoa; Cnidaria; Anthozoa; Actiniaria; Edwardsiidae
Exons: 2
Source: RefSeq, a predicted model, not a curated record
ACCAGUAUGUUUGACAGUAAAAAGCUUCAAAUCUGUUAUGUUUGCCAUACUCAGGAAUGAUGCAAAAAUCCCAGGGCAAAACACAGGUAUUACACUCACACACACAAAGAGAGUUCUGUCUGCUAAGCAUUCUGUAACUGGCUCAUACAGUUACUACAGAGUAAAUAACAUCAGUAUGGAGGAAACAAGAGCUAUUUAAGAAGGCAGGUCCUCUGAAUAGGGUUCAAGAUGAAUUACAAUCAAGAGAAGGAGGCUUCUGAAUUCUAGGUGAAGUUUUCUAGAACAAUAAUACCAUUUCAAUUUAAAAUUUCACACAAAUAAAUUGAGACGUGUUUUAUCUUCGGGGGAUUAUGAAUUAUUCACCAGGCAAUUAUUUAUGGUAUCUUCUCAGAGGCGGAAGAGAAGGGAAACUGACAGAGAAACUACUAAAAAUGAUACUAUAGCAUAUUCUGAACUUUGGUAAUUUUGAAAAUUCUAGAAUCAAACAUACAGUGAAUUGUAAAAAGUUAUUUGAUUUCUUGCUUAGCGAAAAUAUAGCUUAAAUAUCCUCAACUAAACAUAAGUCAAAGCAACUUGCCAUUUGGAAGUUAAACUUACAAUUAAGCAAUACUGUGUUUAGUGAGAGUGUCCCAAAUUAGUAUAAGGAUAAGGGUUGAGGCAUAAGUUGGCAGGGGAGAGUAGCGGCAGUGCUCCAACAACAUAAAAUAGGCUAAAUUACACAUGACAUGAUAAUAAUACUUGGACAAAUAAAUACACAAGCAAUAAAUAAAAUUGCAAUGAUAGGCCUCAACCUCAUUACCAGGUUAGCUCGCUAAAGGCAGUUGAAAAUGUUGUGUAGGAAAAAUAAAAACAGAGAUUGUUGAAGUGAGUAGAAUACUUAAAAAGUAUCACACUCAUGUAUGCUGAUCAUGUACAAUCAGGUGAGAUUGUUCAGAUUUGUUACCAUUAAAUAUACCUUGUCCAUCA